GUUGCAGCAAGCCGAGUUGUCGGAAGAGGACAUGGUCCGUGUGCUGGCGGACUGUGCUGUUACCCGGCUGAAGGGAGCAAAGCUAUCUGAGGUGGACGUUCAAACUCUGAAGGCUGCAUUGGUUAAGGUUAACCAGGCUACCAAAGAACAGCCUGAAGAUGUGGGCCAGCACAUCUUGGGAUUUUUGCUGGAGCAGUGUUUGGACGAGGAAAUGAUGCUCAGUGAAUAAAGAAAUGAUCCGUCCAACUUGGAGAGGAAGGUCUUGAAGAAGCAGAGAAUAAAUUUCCAUGCAAAAACACGACUGUGAUCACCAGGUGUCCUUAAAGAAACUGGAUAUGUGCUGCAUGUUUUUAUCAGAGGCUUUCUGAGUUGCUUUUUGGAGUUUUGAAAGCUGAUAGGAAGUCUGUCAAUGUGUGUUUAUGACAUGAGUUGAUGUUUUGUCGUAUCUGUACUCAUGCAUUUGACCGACAAACCUGUGUGAAAAAAGCAGCUUUGUCUGUGGCCUUAUGAUUCAAAAUAUGCCAAUCCAGGUCCCCGGAUAGUCUGUUUUACAUGUUCAGAACCCCUCUGUUAACUUCAAGAUAUUAAAUAAGUAAUUGUUGGA
Labrus bergylta (ballan wrasse) is the source of this 604-nucleotide non-coding RNA. NCBI's taxonomy places the organism in Eukaryota, Metazoa, Chordata, Actinopteri, Labriformes, Labridae. The record is from RefSeq and is a predicted model, not a curated record.